Macaca mulatta (Rhesus monkey) is the source of this 98-nucleotide non-coding RNA. The record is from Rfam. NCBI's taxonomy places the organism in Eukaryota, Metazoa, Chordata, Mammalia, Primates, Cercopithecidae.
AUCACCUAAGUAUUUUGUUAAAAUGCAGAUUCUGAUUCAACAUAUCUGGGCUGUGGCCUCAGAUUCUGCAUUUAUGACAAGCCCUCAAGUGAUUGGUA